CUCCCUGAGAUUAGCGGCGGACGGGUGAGUAACACGUGGGCAACCUGCCUAUAAGACUGGGAUAACUUCGGGAAACCGGAGCUAAUACCGGAUACGUUCUUUUCUCGCAUGAGAGAAGAUGGAAAGACGGUUUACGCUGUCACUUAUAGAUGGGCCCGCGGCGCAUUAGCUAGUUGGUGAGGUAAUGGCUCACCAAGGCGACGAUGCGUAGCCGACCUGAGAGGGUGAUCGGCCACACUGGGACUGAGACACGGCCCAGACUCCUACGGGAGGCAGCAGUAGGGAAUCUUCCGCAAUGGACGAAAGUCUGACGGAGCAACGCCGCGUGAACGAAGAAGGCCUUCGGGUCGUAAAGUUCUGUUGUUAGGGAAGAACAAGUACCAGAGUAACUGCUGGUACCUUGACGGUACCUAACCAGAAAGCCACGGCUAACUACGUGCCAACAGCCGC
This 450-nucleotide ribosomal RNA is filed under the name Peribacillus frigoritolerans. Its description in RNAcentral is "bacterial SSU rRNA". It matches the Rfam family "Bacterial small subunit ribosomal RNA", at positions 82 to 518 of the family's 1533-position model. The record is from RNAcentral. Lineage: Bacteria; Bacillati; Bacillota; Bacilli; Caryophanales; Bacillaceae.